GCCGGAGUGAUGGAAUUGGCAGACGUGCGGGACUCAAAAUCCCGUGCCCUUCGGGGCGUGUGGGUUCGACUCCCACCUCCGGCA
RNAcentral lists this transfer RNA (84 nucleotides) under bacterium. Its description in RNAcentral is "tRNA-Leu". It matches the Rfam family "tRNA". From Rfam's summary of the family: Transfer RNA (tRNA) molecules are approximately 80 nucleotides in length. Their secondary structure includes four short double-helical elements and three loops (D, anti-codon, and T loops). Further hydrogen bonds mediate the characteristic L-shaped molecular structure. tRNAs have two regions of fundamental functional importance: the anti-codon, which is responsible for specific mRNA codon recognition, and the 3' end, to which the tRNAs corresponding amino acid is attached (by aminoacyl-tRNA synthetases). tRNAs cope with the degeneracy of the genetic code in two manners: having more than one tRNA (with a specific anti-codon) for a particular amino acid; and 'wobble' base-pairing, i.e. permitting non-standard base-pairing at the 3rd anti-codon position. RNAcentral also lists the same sequence under 1 other name. The record is from RNAcentral.